This is a non-coding RNA of Megalopta genalis, 4148 nucleotides long. NCBI's taxonomy places the organism in Eukaryota, Metazoa, Arthropoda, Insecta, Hymenoptera, Halictidae. The record is from RefSeq and is a predicted model, not a curated record.
UUAAAUAGUCACGUCAUGGACGCUAUAUGGAAUCAUAUGCAGUUAGAGCGCCCACCGAAUGCAACUUGUUGCAUUCGGCGUGAAAAAUUUGAUACAACAGGAUUUUUUAAUACUCUGGACAAAAUUGUAAGAGAUUUAAUUUCCCAAGAAAUCUUGCACAAAGAAGCAGCAAUCCUGAGUAGAUUAAUAUACCGUAUGAAAAGUAAAUUCCGAAAUGAUAAGGGUAUGAAAGCUAUGUCAAAGCUUAACAGAGCUUUGCUGAAUUAUCUUUCAUUGUGCCUUGAAAAAGAAUAUGAAAAUUUGAGAAACUAUAUUGAAUUUGACUGUAAAUAUGUUAAGUUGCCUACUAAGCAAAUGGUAGAAUAUGUUUUGGUAAGAACUCAAGGGUUUGCAAAGUUAAUGGCACGCAUAGAAGAAAUAUCAAAACAUGCUGCUCAUUUUCUUAGAAACAGAAUAAUGUUAGGCCAUGCAUGGCCUGUUGCUAUCAUUGCAUACUCUGUUGUCAGUAGAAUAUGGCUGUUAUCAAGGCAUUUAACAAACAGAUCUUGCAUAUGGUACAAUGAUUUACAUCACUACUUACAAUCAUUUAAAGUCUCAGGAUUAAAUUGGCUUCCCAUGGGAUUUGAUCUCCCAUCUGAUUUACGGGCAUGGUUAGCACUACCAUGGAUAGAUGAGCCUACACCACGUGUCCCCAGCAGUCAUGGAAUAAAAAAUAUCAUGUUCAAAUUAAUUACACCCUGUGAUUAUGACUCGGACGAGGACCUGGAUUUAAACAGGCACAAUUAUAGCAAAGAAAUAGAAUUGAAAAAUACUUCUUUAAACCUACAAAAGAAAAAUGCUGCAUGUAAUGAUAUUAUAAUAGAUAUAGACAGUGUUGACAAUGACGCAGGAGAAAUUAUAGAUCGUCACUCGUUUAGUUUAAAACAAACUAAACAGACUUCCAUAAAAGCUGAAAAAUCUAAGAAAAUAAAAAUCGAAGAGCAGACUGUUUCUAAUGUAAUAGAAGAAAAUGUGGAAACGGUGCCAAAAAAUUUGAAAAAAAAGGAGCGUUUAAUAAAGGAUUUAACGUUCGCCAACGUCAAGAAUAAGUCAGAGUUGAUGUUUUUUUUAGACAAGGAAUCCCAUCCCGGCUUAGACAAGUUACAAUGGAACAUGAUCAGAAACAAGAGCAAGAAACAACUGAACAAAUUGGACACGUCUUCCGACAAAGCAGACCAAUCUAUCUCAAUAAAAAAGGGCAGGUCAUGGUGUGAAACAACUCAUUAUUCCCGAGUACACGUACAUGCAUAGUACAUUUUGAAAUUAUUAAAUUAUUCAGCAGCAAAAUCGAAAGAAUGCAACUUUAUGAUGAAUAUAAUUCAGUUGCAUAAUGAUUAUGCAUCGUAAUCCAGAUGGAGGCGGUUCGUGUAGCGGCGCGGCCUCAUCCACAGCCUAAAUCCGGCGUUGUACUGUCUUUUCUUCAUGUUGUUGAAGCAACAGGCCCGAAAUUGUCGAGUGCCGCAUAUAUCAGCGCACUCUCGGCCGCAUUGGUCGCAGGAUAAAGUCUCUCCAAUAGUCCAGAAAGCACACACUGCAACGUAGAACCCGGUGUUUCUUUUUUUGGUACAAGCUGUGCCGCCCGAAGAAAUGCAUUUAUGGAUGUGGCGCCAGAACGUAAUGAAUUUUAAGCAAGUAAUUACAAGUUACCGCAUCUACAUGCCGCGCGGCGUGUCACGAACUUUUUAAAUUUUCCGGUCGAGAAACUAUGUGCUGGAGAAAUUUUUCAUUACAAAUUAACAUCUUCUGAUCUUCCGGUUCGCGGAACUCAGGGCAUUAAAUACGGACGCGAUUGGUUAAGGUUUUAGUAGCAACGAUGCCCUGGCGGCUGCUUUAAGUGAAACACUGUUUGAUGGGAUUAUCUCUUUGCAAAAGAGAUUACACUGGGCGAGGCGAUACCGUCUAUUUCGGGAUCCUUUGACGCGCUUCGGAUCUCGCAAUUAACAGAGCAUAGCCUAUUUUUUAUAAUCGAGAAAGAUUAAUUAGUUAGUAACAGAAAAAAGUAACGCUUACCUAUCAGGAACAGUAUCAAGCAAGUGGCAUUCAUCUUCAUGUUUGAUAAUCCGGCUGCGGAAGCUUUGAACAAAAGGACAAUUUAUUUUUAAUUAAAAUAGACAAGGAUCCGUUUUAUUAAAUUUUUUUGUUAAAUUUUUAUUGCACUAUGUGUUUUUAAUUUAUCGUUUGUACUAUGGAAUAGGGUACCGCACUUUGUAAGAUUUUAACAGACCACGAAGCAAGCUCUGAAGUAUAAUGAAAAGAUAUAGGAUUCAAAAGGAUAUUAAAAAUAAGAUCUGUGUGCUCAAACUACACAGGCAUUAUCUACACAGACUUUCAAACUGGAAGCAAGUGGUUGAAGCGUACGAUACUGAUCAGAGAGAUGCAAACUCACCAAUCCUUCAGGGAUGAACGUCGAAGACCAAGUGAUAAGACUCCUGUGGAGGACCACCGCCUCAAGAUAUAGUCCCCCACCAGGCUCCUGUCGCCUCCUGCAUCCUUAACGCGCACGCAAUCGCAUUUUCUGCAUCGAUACGGUAUUCAGAACAAUCUCCGAGUCGAUUUACAACUAUAAUUAGACUUCUAAUCGGCAAGGACUGAUGGCAGGAGCCACCUACGCGAAUGACCAGGGAUUUGAGGAGUUCGGUUGGAAUAGGGGCGACAAUGCUGAUGGGAAACGUUGAUUGAUGAUUUCUCGUGGCGGUACUUGUUUGCGACAAGGAUUCAGCUGAAACACAGACCAUAGAAGAUAGCCAUUUUGGAGCCAAAUUGGUACACUUAAUAUUUUAAAAAUACCGGGAUAGUAAACGAUCCUCUCUCUUCGCUUGUAAUCCGUGUGAGGAAUGGAGACCUCGCAGUCCAACAGGGUCGGCUCGAAGGUGUUUCUGAUGAUCACGACCCGCUUCACGGAUAGAUCCUUCCUGUACCACUCUAUUUUCUCUGUUCUGUCGUAGUAGCUGUGUACUUCCACUCCUUCUACAUAGAACUUGAGGAUCGGUCUCGGAUGUGCUCCGUUCACCACGCAUGUCAAGUUCAAAUGGGUCUUAUUAAAAGAAGAUACGUGAAUCGUCGCGUUCUUCUCUGGUGCUAAAGAAUUAUCCAGGACUCUGUUUUUAUUCGACCUAUCGGAAUCCAAUUAAUAGGAUUUUUAAUAGUCUUUAGAUACCAUAAACGAUCAUCUGCGAUCUCUUCGAAUCCUCCUCCUGAAAGGUGCUAACCGAACAAGUGUACUCGCCGCUCAUGUCGACGGUGACCGUCUUCAAGUGAAUGAUAGAUUGCGAUGUUGGAUGUCUUAAAUUGUUCCCAGGAUAUUCAGCGAACCCGUCUAUCACGCCCACAUCCUGUGGCAGCACUAUAAAUGAGCAGAGUGAAAGAAAAUGUUUAUAUACGAAUUAAUUGAUAGCUUCGUUUAAAUUACUUGGUGGAAUCCACUGAUAAACUUGGUCCAUAUUAUGGUACCAUUUCACUACGAGGCCGUUCUCAUCCGAUCGAACAUGGUAGACGCAAGAUAGAUCGAUGGGACCGGUCCCAUUACGUACAAUACGUGGAAGGUCCAAAACGUUGAUUCUCGAGGCGCACAUGUCUAAAAGAAAUUUAUUUAUCGAUACAUAUUUAUUUAGUAAUUAACAUAACGCGUAAAUAUUUUAAGUGUGGAAUUCAUCGAUUGUUUGUCUCCUUGUAAAAUUAGAAUCAACGCGAUAUACGCUUUAGAGUCUAUAUGUAUGUAUAAAAUGAUUUUAUCGUGUUAGAGCCGACCCGUACGCAAACUCGAAACAACUGGAAAAGUCGCAUGAAUUUUUAGUAAUGUGCUUCGAGUCUUAACAAUUUUAAUUACGCUAGAUUUCAGUUUCAUUUACCUGGGAACGGGACGGAUAUUAUAGCAAUAGCUAGCAGAAAAAUCGUGUACACCGUUGACAACAUUUUCAACGAAGACCUCUUUCCAAACUGAUGCACAAUUAAUCAUGCUUCGUUAAACUUAAAUCAAGCGCAGGCGAAAGAUUCUGCGCAGCCAUCGGAUCAGCAUUGUUCGUUGUAUAAGCGUUAAAAUGAUCAGGAUUAUUGCUGCAAUCCAGUUUUGCAAUUUUUGGUAAUAUAUGGACGAGUAAUUUGUUUCGAAA